RNAcentral lists this ribosomal RNA (433 nucleotides) under uncultured bacterium. Its description in RNAcentral is "partial 16S ribosomal RNA". It matches the Rfam family "Bacterial small subunit ribosomal RNA", at positions 29 to 507 of the family's 1533-position model. The record is from RNAcentral.
AACGAACGCUGGCGGCAUGCCUAACACAUGCAAGUCGAACGAGACCUUCGGGUCUAGUGGCGCACGGGUGCGUAACGCGUGGGAACCUGCCCUUAGGUUCGGAAUAACUCCCCGAAAGGGGUGCUAAUACCGGAUAAUGUCUUCGGACCAAAGAUUUAUCGCCUUUGGAUGGGCCCGCGUUUGAUUAGCUAGUUGGUAGGGUAAAAGCCUACCAAGGCGACGAUCAAUAGCUGGUCUGAGAGGAUGAUCAGCCACACUGGGACUGAGACACGGCCCAGACUCCUACGGGAGGCAGCAGUGGGGAAUAUUGGACAAUGGGCGAAAGCCUGAUCCAGCAAUGCCGCGUGAGUGAUGAAGGCCUUAGGGUUGUAAAGCUCUUUUACCCGGGAUGAUAAUGACAGUACCGGGAGAAUAAGCCCCGGCUAACUCCGUG